Molecule: transfer RNA, 74 nt
Filed under: Neurospora tetrasperma FGSC 2508
Lineage: Eukaryota; Fungi; Ascomycota; Sordariomycetes; Sordariales; Sordariaceae
Also listed under: 1 other name
Description: tRNA-Asn (ATT) (tRNA-Asn-ATT-6-1)
Rfam family: tRNA
About the family: Transfer RNA (tRNA) molecules are approximately 80 nucleotides in length.
Source: RNAcentral
GCGCGGUUGGCGUAGUGGUACAACGCGUCACUCGAUUCUGGUGAAGAUCCCGGGUUCGAAUCCCGGACCGCGCA